GACGAACGAGGGAGGAGGGCAGAAUACAUGCAAGUCGAACGCUUCUUUCCUCCCGAGUGCUUGCACUCAAUUGGAAAGAGGAGUGGCGGACGGGUGAGUAACACGUGGGUAACCUACCCAUCAGAGGGGGAUAACACUUGGAAACAGGUGCUAAUACCGCAUAACAGUUUAUGCCGCAUGGCAUAAGAGUGAAAGGCGCUUUCGGGUGUCGCUGAUGGAUGGACCCGCGGUGCAUUAGCUAGUUGGUGAGGUAACGGCUCACCAAGGCCACGAUGCAUAGCCGACCUGAGAGGGUGAUCGGCCACACUGGGACUGAGACACGGCCCAGACUCCUACGGGAGGCAGCAGUAGGGAAUCUUCGGCAAUGGACGAAAGUCUGACCGAGCAACGCCGCGUGAGUGAAGAAGGUUUUCGGAUCGUAAAACUCUGUUGUUAGAGAAGAACAAGGACGUUAGUAACUGAACGUCCCCUGACGGUAUCUAACCAGAAAGCCACGGCUAACUACGUG
Molecule: ribosomal RNA, 508 nt
Filed under: uncultured bacterium
Lineage: Bacteria
Description: partial 16S ribosomal RNA
Rfam family: Bacterial small subunit ribosomal RNA
Source: RNAcentral